CGACCCCAGGUCAGGCGGGGUUACCCGCU
This 29-nucleotide ribosomal RNA is filed under the name Rosa moschata. Its description in RNAcentral is "partial 26S rRNA". The record is from RNAcentral. Lineage: Eukaryota; Viridiplantae; Streptophyta; Magnoliopsida; Rosales; Rosaceae. RNAcentral also lists the same sequence under 1 other name.